GCUGUGACAAAGGGGGCCACAGAAGGAGCAUUAACAUUGUGGUCCCUGUCAGGCUUUUGCCUGUGAAUACUUCC
RNAcentral lists this ribozyme (74 nucleotides) under Eptatretus burgeri (inshore hagfish). Its description in RNAcentral is "Mammalian CPEB3 ribozyme (ENSEBUG00000000078.1)". It matches the Rfam family "Mammalian CPEB3 ribozyme". Rfam says of the family: The mammalian CPEB3 ribozyme is a self cleaving RNA located in the second intron of the CPEB3 gene which belongs to a family of genes regulating messenger RNA polyadenylation. This ribozyme is highly conserved and found only in mammals. There is currently only one other known self cleaving ribozyme in mammals, the CoTC motif. The record is from Rfam by way of RNAcentral. Lineage: Eukaryota; Metazoa; Chordata; Myxini; Myxiniformes; Myxinidae.